This is a long non-coding RNA of Brienomyrus brachyistius, 931 nucleotides long. RefSeq lists it as uncharacterized. The record is from RefSeq and is a predicted model, not a curated record. The transcript is spliced from 3 exons. Lineage: Eukaryota; Metazoa; Chordata; Actinopteri; Osteoglossiformes; Mormyridae.
UGUCAGCUGAGGUCAUAAACCUAGAGGUUCUUACUUUAGCCGAGUCUUUUAAAUUGAGUUAAAUGGUCUCUUCCCUGCUCAUUUCUUAAGGGUGCUUUAGCCACUUAGCAUGUAGCUUAGCAGUUUAGCUACUUAGCAGUUAUCUUAGCACUUUAGCCCUUAGCAUGUGGUUUAGCGCUGUAGCUGCUCAGCUUGUAGCACAGCACUUUAACCACUUAGCAUGUGGUUUAGCGCUGUAGCUGCUCAGCUUGUAGCACAGCACUUUAGCCACUUAGCAUGUGGUUUAGCGCUGUAGCUGCUCAGCUUGUAGCACAGCACUUUAGCCACUUAGCAUGUGGUUUAGCGCUGUAGCUGCUCAGCUUGUAGCACAGCACUUUAGCCACUUAGCAUGUGGUUUAGCGCUGUAGCUGCUCAGCUUGUAGCACAGCACUUUAGCCACUUAGCAUGUGGUUUAGCGCUGUAGCUGCUCAGCUUGUAGCACAGCACUUUAGCCACUUAGCAUGUGGUUUAGCACUGUGACUGCUUAGCUUGUAGCACAGCACUUUAGCCACUUAGCAUGAAGUUUAGCACUGUGACUGCUUAGCUUGUAGCACAGCACUUUAGCCACUUAGCAUGAGGUUUAGCACUGUGACUGCUUAGCUUGUAGCACAGCACUUUAGCCACUUAGCAUGAAGUUUAGCACUGUGACUGCUUAGCUUGUAGCACAGCACUUUAGCCACUUAGCAUGAAGUUUAGCACUGUGACUGCUUAGCUUGUAGCACAGCACUUUAGCCACUUAGCAUGAAGUUUAGCACUGUGACUGCUUAGCUUGUAGCUAGCCCGUUGUUGUUUGUUUGACUGCGAUGGGUGGGAGAUGUGUGCUUAAGGCUGAUUAGCUGUUUCCUCCUUUCUCAUAACCCCUGGGCCAGUGAGUCAGCAUCAAAAAACAACA